GUUUUAAUGCACCAAGUAUCCGGAACUUAAUAGCACUUUUUUUCCCCAGGCAAAAAAAUAUUUUUAACAAGGUUUUAGUUUUUAAAAAAAAAAAGUGUAAUUGACUGUAUAUUACAUGGGGUUGUCUGUUGAAUGUUUAAAGCAUCUUGAGCUGCUUUACCAUUGGAAAGGUGGUAUAAGUCCUUUCUGUAGGCGAUAAAGGUCAUGGCACUUAAUGGAUGGAUAGAUAGCUUUGGCACUUAAGACGAGCGCGAGACUAAAGCCAGGCAGCCACGUAGCGCGAGCUCUGCCGAGAAUCUCCAGCUUUAGCACGGUAAACAGUGGAGGGCGGUAGUUGCAGAAGAAACUCAUUAUUCCGCACAGAACGCAUGCAAACAGCUGUAAAAGAUCCAUACGUGCUCGCUCAUAUCGCCGAGGUGAUCUCUAUUUCGAUUUGCAAACCAUAUUGAUUUCUCCGAUUAUUCUUUCACGCCCGUGGAGCUCGCGCUCUGCAACUCCGAGUGCUCGCGAUGACGGAGAGGGCGCUCGUGCUUCGGGUGAGUAGUCCAGCGGAGACCGGAGCUCGCCACAACUUCUAUUUCCCCUCCACCCCCCUUUCAUUUGCAAUUAUUUACAAAACAAUAACAAUAAUGACAUCCGUUCGUCUGUCGCGAAACGGCACAGAAAUCCUCGCACGAGGAUCUGCAAAGAAUUUUGACGAGGCAUUACCAUUGAAGCAUGCUUUGCUUAACACGCAUUUGCAGCAUCCACACACUGGUCUACUCCAUUGAUUUCUGAAGGUCAGUGAGAUCAUUAUAAAGCCACCCGCGCCUCAUUGUGCGUUCUUCAGAUGAAUGCGAUGUUUAAAUGCUAUAACUUCUCAUAAAAUCAUUCCUUGAAAACACACACAUAUAGCCCGCUUCACACACAGUUCCACAGAACUCACUCAGAUUGAAAGCUGUGGUUUCAGUGCUUUUCUGAAUCUUACAACUGCCAACUGAAGGUUCGCUAUACAUUCUGACUAUAUACAUUAGUAAAUAUUGGUUUCGGUUUGUCUGCCAAUUUCCUGAGCACACGCGCGUUCACACGGACUAGCGAUGAUAAACAACUGCAAAAUGUAAAGGUGCUGCCAAAUACCAAUGUAAUGUUAAUUCCACACGUUGACUGUGAAGGAGUGCUGUACGUUUGAUUGGUUGUACAGUAAAAAUCCAUAGUUCAUGGAUCAACUCUGCUUCUCUGAAAAUGAGUGUUGAUACGAAUAAUGGUUUACACCCAUCAGCCAUAACAUUUAAAACCACCUACCGAGUAUUGUAUCGGUUCCCCCUUGUGCCGCUACAACAGCUCUGACUCAUCGAGGUGUGGACUCCACAAGACCUCUGCAGGUGUGCUGUGGUAUCUGGCACCAAGAUUUUAGCAGCAGAUUCUUUAAGUCCUGUCAGUUGCGAGGUGGGGCCUCCUUCCAUGGAUUGGACUUGUUUUGUCCAGCACAUCCCACAGAUGAUGCUCAAUCGGAUUGAGAUCCGGGGAACUUUGAGGCCAAAUCAACACCUUGAACUCUGUCAUGUUCCUCAAAACAUUCCUGAACAGUUUUUGUAGUGUGCCAGAACGCAUUAUCCUGCUGAAAGAGGCCAUUAGGGAAUGCCGUUGCAACUAAGGGGUGCACUUGGUCUGCGAUAAUGUUUAGGUAGGUGGUACGUGUCAUAGUAACAUCUACAUGAACGCCAGGGGCCCAAGGUUUCGCAGCAGAACAUUGCCCAAGGCAUCACACUGCCUUGGUGCCAUCUCUUCCCCCUGGUAAGUAAUGCACAGAUCUAAAAGAAAACGAGAUUCAUCAGACCAGGCCACCUUCUUCUGUUGCUCAAUGGUUCGAAUCUAAUGCUCACGUGGCCGUUGUAGUUGUAGGUUCUUUUGGAGGUGGAUAAGGUCAGCAUGGGGUACUCUGACCAGUCUUGGCUACAUAGCCCCAUAUGGAGCAAGCUGCGAUGCACUCUGUUUUGACACCUUUCUGUCAUUAACAUUCUCAGCAAUUUGUGCUACAGUAGUUUUUCUGUGGGAUCGGACCCCUGUCACCGGUUCACCAGUUAUCCUAACUCGGAACACUUUUGGUAGGUACUACCACUGCAUACCGUGAACACCCCACAAGACCUGUUGUUUUGGAGUUGCUCUGACCCAGUCGUCUAGUCAUCACAGUUUGGCCCUUAAUCGCUCAGAUCCUUAUGCUUGCCCAUUUUUCCUGCUUCCAACACAUCCACUCCAAGAACUGAUGGUUGAGUUGCUGCAUAAUAUAUCUAAUAUAUGAUAUACAUCAUUUGACUGGCACCAUUGUAACUACAUAAUCAAUGUUAUUCACUUCACCUAUCAGACUUUUUAUGCUAUGGCUGAUUAGUGUAUGUCCAAGCAGUAUUAUUGGUUGAAUAUUAAUGAUGAACUCCACCCUAAAAAUGUUCAUAUUGAAGUAUUUGUGAUGUGCUUACAAGUCUGGUGUUAAUUUGUUGAUUUUCAACGAUAUCAGAAAAACAGAUAUUGGUUAAGUUUCGCUGUUCGUU
Long non-coding RNA from Ictalurus punctatus (channel catfish), 2525 nucleotides. The record is from Ensembl. NCBI's taxonomy places the organism in Eukaryota, Metazoa, Chordata, Actinopteri, Siluriformes, Ictaluridae.